CAGCAUGUAGUUUAAAAAAAAUGUUGGUUUUGGGGAUCAACGAUCCUAGUUGGGUUUGCUGA
Molecule: transfer RNA, 62 nt
Filed under: Posthodiplostomum centrarchi
Lineage: Eukaryota; Metazoa; Platyhelminthes; Trematoda; Diplostomida; Diplostomidae
Description: tRNA-Pro
Source: RNAcentral